CAAGAUAUAGCUUAAUGAAAGCAUCUCGCUUACACCGAGAAAAUGCCCGCUAACCCGAGCUAUCUUGA
Molecule: transfer RNA, 68 nt
Filed under: Dendropsophus labialis (green dotted treefrog)
Lineage: Eukaryota; Metazoa; Chordata; Amphibia; Anura; Hylidae
Description: tRNA-Val
Rfam family: tRNA
About the family: Transfer RNA (tRNA) molecules are approximately 80 nucleotides in length. Their secondary structure includes four short double-helical elements and three loops (D, anti-codon, and T loops).
Source: RNAcentral